AGAUUGAACGCUGGCGGCAUGCCUUACACAUGCAAGUCGAACGGCAGCACGGACUUCGGUCUGGUGGCGAGUGGCGAACGGGUGAGUAAUAUAUCGGAACGUACCCUGGAGUGGGGGAUAACGCAGCGAAAGUUGCGCUAAUACCGCAUACGAUCUACGGAUGAAAGUGGGGGCUCGCAAGACCUCAUGCUCGUGGAGCGGCCGAUAUCUGAUUAGCUAGUUGUAGGGUAAAAGCUACCAAGGCAUCGAUCAGUAGCUGGUCUGAGAGGACGACCAGCCACACUGGGACUGAGACACGGCCCAGACUCUACGGGAGGCAGCAGUGGGAAUUUUGGACAUGGGGGCAACCCUGAUCCAGCAAUGCCGCGUGAGUGAAGAAGCCUUCGGUUGUAAGCUCUUUUGUCAGGAAGAACGGUGAAGGAUAAUAUCCUUGUCUAAUGACGGUACC
Molecule: ribosomal RNA, 448 nt
Filed under: uncultured soil bacterium
Lineage: Bacteria
Description: bacterial SSU rRNA
Rfam family: Bacterial small subunit ribosomal RNA
Source: RNAcentral